RNAcentral lists this ribosomal RNA (253 nucleotides) under uncultured bacterium. Its description in RNAcentral is "partial 16S ribosomal RNA". It matches the Rfam family "Bacterial small subunit ribosomal RNA", at positions 524 to 776 of the family's 1533-position model. The record is from RNAcentral.
UACGUAGGGUCCGAGCGUUGUCCGGAAUUACUGGGCGUAAAGCGCGCGUAGGCGGCUUUGUAAGUUAGAGGUGAAAGCCCGGAGCUCAACUCCGGAACUGCCUUUAAAACUGCAUCGCUUGAAUCCAGGAGAGGUGAGUGGAAUUCCGAGUGUAGAGGUGAAAUUCGUAGAUAUUCGGAAGAACACCAGUGGCGAAGGCGGCUCACUGGACUGGUAUUGACGCUGAGGUGCGAAAGCGUGGGGAGCAAACAGG